Molecule: ribosomal RNA, 495 nt
Filed under: uncultured bacterium
Lineage: Bacteria
Description: partial 16S ribosomal RNA
Rfam family: Bacterial small subunit ribosomal RNA
Source: RNAcentral
GUGAACGCUGGCGGCGUGCCUAAUCCCUGCAAGUCGCGCGAACAGACGAGGAGCUUGCUCCUCUGACGUUAGCGGCGGACGGGUGAGUAACACGUGGAUAACCUACCUAUAAGACUGGGAUAACUUCGGGAAACCGGAGCUAAUACCGGAUAAUAUAUUGAACCGCAUGGUUCAAUAGUGAAAGACGGUUUUGCUGUCACUUAUAGAUGGAUCCGCGCCGCAUUAGCUAGUUGGUAAGGUAACGGCUUACCAAGGCAACGAUGCGUAGCCGACCUGAGAGGGUGAUCGGCCACACUGGAACUGAGACACGGUCCAGACUCCUACGGGAGGCAGCAGUAGGGAAUCUUCCGCAAUGGGCGAAAGCCUGACGGAGCAACGCCGCGUGAGUGAUGAAGGUCUUCGGAUCGUAAAACUCUGUUAUUAGGGAAGAACAAAUGUGUAAGUAACUAUGCACGUCUUGACGGUACCUAAUCAGAAAGCCACGGCUAACUACGU